Molecule: long non-coding RNA, 3558 nt
Organism: Amphimedon queenslandica
Lineage: Eukaryota; Metazoa; Porifera; Demospongiae; Haplosclerida; Niphatidae
Exons: 14
Source: RefSeq, a predicted model, not a curated record
GUCCGCAACGAGACCCUCAAGUGUACCAGAUUUAAAAUCCUAAAAAAUCCACUUGGAUUUUUACCGGAUUCUCCAGGAUUUUUGGAUUUUUUUUGGAUUUCCUAGAUUACUGGAUUUUCAAGUAUUUCAUAUGGAUUUUCACUUGAAUUAUUGGAUUUACUGAUACUUAUUUUGGAUUUUUGGUAGGAUAAUUGGAUUUUUGGAUUUUUUAUCUGGAUUUUAGGCCUGGAUAGUCCAAGUAUGGGUGUGUAAUAAGAUCACAGAUCUGUCAGAGUGCUGGACAACUUUUACCGGUACCUCGACUUUCACAGAGCCAUGCUUUGUCUUCACUGAAUGGUGGGAUACAAUCUUCAUGAUACCAGUUGCGCAACACCUUUCACAUUGAACCAUUUUACGCCCAUCAUCUUCCCUCUUGCACGAUGGACAAUAGUAUAUAACUAUUUGGAAAAACGAGACACAACUUUGAGGGUCUAUACCAUUGGCCAGGGCCGUCGCAUUGGCAAUGGCAUAAAGACCACAGUCUGAGGAGCCACUUUGUUUUGUAACUGGAACACAGUUCACUUUUACUUGAAUGAAGCCAUUCUCAGCUAGGAGAAACGAUAAAAUUCGCUCGGAAUUUUCUGGAAGUUUUGAGUACACUGAAUCAUAAUAAUUCAGGCAGCACUCUGAAUCAUUUUCAGAUGGAAUGGAACUGACAACUGCCCAAUGGUGUCUCGUGAGUUGAUAGCAAGUGGACUGUAGGCCAUUCAAGUGAGGAAAACUAGCUUUUAGUAAAAACUGUGCAGCCGAUAUGUGAACAUCAGUGAUUCUUCUUCCAUUUGCAAUAUCCAAUUUAUCUUUUACUUUUAAAAGAUCACCAUCAAUUAUCAUAGGGUUUGAGGCUGAACCAGAAGUUGAUGCUUGACUGGGCAUGAGAGAAGUCGAGGUGCAUUUUUCACAAGCUGAGGCAAUGUAGUUCAUACACUCUGGAGUAACUUUAAAUUCAUUGGUUCUGUACCAUCGUAAAAGACACAGAAGUCACCUAUUGCUACAUGAUUACUGAUGAGUGGUUGAUUUUCGACUCGAUCUGACAUUAUUGUUGAAAGCUUGGUAGUCUCUUUGGAUUCAUUUGGCUGUUGUGAUCGAACACGGAAGAUUCUGUCACUGGACACCCUCUCUCCAUCAUUGAGUAGCCAUACUGCUGUCUUUUUACGGAUGAAGAUACUCCUGCCUUCAACAAUGACUGGUACAAAAAGGGAGUUGUUGGGAUCUUUAUCUGGUGUCAUUAUUUCAUUCUGAUACGUUGGAAUUGCUACUGAAGGAGAAAAACUUUUGUCAAGGUAGCUGUUUACUGAAGCAUCGACAAUUUCAAGGAGUGUAGAUGCUCUCAUAAAAUGCUCAAUAGCUGCAAAGUUUUGCUUGUCUCUAGAGUCUAAAUCUCUCCUUCUCAUCCCAUGUUUCUCUUUCCCAUAUAUGUUUGUAAGAAUGUGUAGGUGAGCACUAGUAGCAAUAUAAUCUCCCAUAGGUAGUAAUAUUGACGGCUUUAGCAGUCUUGUUUUAAACUUGACUGCUACAUGUACCAUAUCCUGUACACAAAAAAGUGCAUACAAAUUAGUACAUAACCAUUUUUUUAUUGAAAGAUUUCCUUGGAGUAUUGGGAGAGGUGUGGUGUCAUUAUUUAGAGAAAGAUUGGUGUUAUUUGAUAUUAGAUGUGUUGUAACACGCAUAGCCCUCAUCAGCCUUGAAUCUCCAUCAGCUGCAAAGCUGACGACACGUACUCCUCUGAGAGACAGCUCUUUGUUGAUAUAUUUCCACCUCUGUAGUACAUCAGUGGCUGAAAACUUGUUGUCACUCCCAAUGCAGGCCAAACAGAAGGAUGGAACACCCUCUUUCAGAGAUUGCACCAUGUAUACAUAAGCAUAUUUUGCUAUAGUAUGCUGCUGAAAAUAACUCUCAAUAUCUUCGAAUGUAUUAACAUUGAAGGAAUUACGUAAAGUAGCGUCCUCAGCCAGAGCAACCAUAAAUGGAGCUUUGUGUUUCACAAGAUGCUGUAGUAGAUCAUCAAAGCGAAAAUAUCCUUCACGCAAAGGUGUUACUUGAGAAGAAGUGGCUAUUGAGGAAAUAAUUGAAUGCAGUUUCUCAUUCUGUUUUACUAACUCCUGCUAUUUCUAAUUUUCUGAGCUUUCGAGCAGUACGAGAUUGGGACCAGUUUGAAGACUGUUUUUUAACCCCUCCUCUUAAAACAGAGGAGGGGCUAAUUAAAAAACCUGGUUUGUUGAAGGUUUUUCUUGUUUGGAUUGUAAUGACUGCUCUGAUGGCAACUGAGAUGGCAUUGUUAAUAGUGAAGGAGAAGGGGAGUGAGAAAGAGGCGAUGCUGUAGGAAUCGGUUGAAGAGGAGACACCUCUGCAUGAUAACUUUCAGUUGCUAUUUCAGUAUGAAACAACUCUAAUGGUGGAGAGUCAUCGUUGGACUGUGAACAGUGAGUAAUCGGGAAGAGUGAUUGUGAUGUUGCUGGUAGUGAUGAUGGAGAAUCAUCACUGGACUGUAAACAAUGAGUAAUCGGGAAGAGCAAUUGUGAUGUUGCCUCUUCAGCUGUUGCUUCAUUUGUGGAUAAUGUAUUACCAGUACUUGUGUCUGUGGAGCUUGUGAUGAUGUAGUCUCAUCAUGUACUAGUGAUGAUGCUUUGCGCUUCUUUGCUGGAGGGCCAGAUAUUGCUUGAACGGGUAAUCGCUGGCCCUUAAAGGAUGAAAUGAACUUCUUGAUAAUAACACGGUGUCCUGGAGGAAAUUUGAAUGGCUCGGAUAUACAUUUAUUUCGUCGCAUACAAUGUAGCAGUUCAUCCUUUCUCUCAUCAAUAUAUUUCUCAAGGUCACUAUGGAGCACAGAAGUUGAGUUUUGGAUUGUGUGAGUAUACAGCUAUUUUACCUGUUAAUCUCUGCCAUAGCUGCUAAAGAUAGGUUGCUUGCUAUCACUACAGCUAAUUGAGUAAUAGUAUGUCAAGCUAAGUUUCAAACCUACAUGUGGAUAAUUUGUAAUAAGUUUGUGAUUUGUCAUUAUUUGUCUCAUUAUUGAUCUUACUCUAAAUAAUUUUGAUAUUAUAGAGUCCAGAAAUAGUAUUCAACGGAGUGAAGUGAGGAUGGUGAAUUAUCCUUGGAAUUAUCUAUGCUAGAUUUUUUAAAGUUGUUUUCAUAACAUGAACAUUAUUGGCUUUAUCUUACCCUAGGUUUUUCAGACAAAUUCAGUCUUUAGACCAAAAUGCUGUUUCUGUUACCCUGCCAGUAACUUGAGAUAAGAUCAAGGAUCAGGAAAGAAAGAGCAAAUGAGAAGAAGGAAUCGAGAGCAAGGAAGUUGGACUAUCACAAAGACUUUAAAGUUUCAGUAGCUCUGCCUUUAGCAUGAGCAUGUGCACUACUACUAAAUAUAGCAGCUCAAACUGCUAUAUUUAGUAUCGAUGCAUGUUCAUGCUUGGUUUCACACUCAGUACUUGUGACUGCUGAGAUGUACUGUUUGUUCCUAUUUUAGAAUCAUUAUACUAACUGAAAAACCACUAUCACUAAUGACUUAUUAAUUAAUGUUUU